UUUAGACUUAAGAGCUAUUCAAAUAAGGCACAGCUUAUUUGAAAUAGGACACAACCUACAACAUAGGGUAAACUAGAGUGACCUAAAUAAAGUGGGCCUAAAAGCAGCCACCUUUAGAAAAGCGUUAAAGCUUAACUACCUUCACUCAUAAUGCCUAAAAUCUCCACUAACCCUUCAUUACUACUGAACAAUUUUAUACUUAUAUAAAAGCUAUCAUGCUAGAACUAGUAACAAGAAACUGCUUUUCUCCUAAAUGUAAACAUAAACCAAAAUAGACUCUCUAUUGGUUAUUAACGUAAAUGCUAAACUGUAGCAACACUCACUAGAAAAUCCUAUAAACCCCCAACGUUAACCUUACACCAGAACAUUACAGGAAAGAUUAAAAGAAAAAGAAGGAACUCGGCAAAUUUUAGCCUCGCCUGUUUACCAAAAACAUCGCCUCUUGACAAAACAUAAGAGGUCCAGCCUGCCCAGUGACAAAGUUCAACGGCCGCGGUACCCUAACCGUGCAAAGGUAGCACAAUCACUUGUUCUUUAAAUGAGGACUCGUAUCAACGGCACUACGAGGGCUAUACUGUCUCCUUUUUCUAAUCAGUGAAACUGAUCUCCCCGUGAAGAAGCGGGGAUUAUAAUAUAAGACGAGAAGACCCCAUGGAGCUUUAAACUCACCAUGCACCUCUGUGCUCCUAUACCCCUAAACACAACAGACCUGCAUGUUAGUUUUAGGUUGGGGUGACCACGGAGUAUAACAUAACCUCCACAGCAAACGGGCUAAUACCCUUAUCCACGAGACACAACUCUAAGAAUUACUAAACUAAUGCUUACGACCCGAUAUUCGAUCCAUGAACCAAGUUACCCUGGGGAUAACAGCGCAAUCUACUUCAAGAGCCCAUAUCGACAAGUAGGUUUACGACCUCGAUGUUGGAUCAGGGUAUCCCGGUGGUGCAGCCG
This 951-nucleotide ribosomal RNA is filed under the name Rana taihangensis. RNAcentral describes it as "partial 16S ribosomal RNA". It matches the Rfam family "Bacterial large subunit ribosomal RNA", at positions 970 to 2561 of the family's 2925-position model. Lineage: Eukaryota; Metazoa; Chordata; Amphibia; Anura; Ranidae. The record is from RNAcentral.